CAAGUCGAACGAGAAAGUGGAGCAAUCCAUGAGUAAAGUGGCGCACGGGUGAGUAACACGUGACUAACCUACCCUUGAGUGGGGAAUAACCUAGGGAAACCUGGGCUAAUACCGCAUAACACCUACGGGUCAAAGGAGCAAUUCGCUUAAGGAGGGGGUCGCGGCAGAUUAGCUAGUUGGCGGGGUAAUGGCCCACCAAGGCGGUGAUCUGUAUCCGGCCUGAGAGGGCGCACGGACACACUGGAACUGAAACACGGUCCAGACUCCUACGGGAGGCAGCAGUGGGGAAUUUUGCGCAAUGGGGGAAACCCUGACGCAGCAACGCCGCGUGGAGGAUGAAGUCCCUUGGGACGUAAACUCCUUUCGAUCGGGACGAUUAUGACGGUACCGGAGGAAGAAGCCCCGGCUAACUUCGUGCCAGCAGCCGCGGUAAUACGAGGGGGGCAAGCGUUGUUCGGAAUUAUUGGGCGUAAAGGGUGCGUAGGCGGUUCGGUAAGUCUUAUGUGAAAUCUUCAGGCUCAACUUGAAGUCUGCAUGAGAAACUGCCGGGCUUGAGUGUGGGAGAGGUGAGUGGAAUUUCCGGUGUAGCGGUGAAAUGCGUAGAUAUCGGAAGGAACACCUGUGGCGAAAGCGGCUCACUGGACCAUAACUGACGCUGAUGCACGAAAGCUAGGGGAGCAAACAGGAUUAGAUACCCUGGUAGUCCUAGCCCUAAACGAUGAUCGCUUGGUGUGACGGGUACCCAAUCCCGCCGUGCCGAAGCUAACGCGUUAAGCGAUCCGCCUGGGGAGUACGUCGCAAGGCUGAAACUCAAAGGAAUUGACGGGGCCCGCACAAGCGGUGGAGCAUGUGGUUUAAUUCGACGCAACGCGAAGAACCUUACCUGGGCUCGAAAUGUACAGGAAUCCCGGUGGAAACAUCGGCGCCCGCAAGGGGCCUGUAUAUAGGUGCUGCAUG
This 957-nucleotide ribosomal RNA is filed under the name uncultured bacterium. RNAcentral's name for it is "bacterial SSU rRNA". It matches the Rfam family "Bacterial small subunit ribosomal RNA", at positions 58 to 1047 of the family's 1533-position model. The record is from RNAcentral.